UAUGGGAGAAAUGGGAGGGACAGGAAGCACCAGCAGAAAUAGCAAUUAAAAAAUGAAGAGGUGAUUGGUGGAUGAGUCAGGUCAAGACUGGUGCAGGAAAAAAAGCAAAGAACAGCAGAGUUUGGUUUUAUUUGCCUUCGUAUUAGUAGUCUGAGCCUCAGUGAAAAAGCAUCAAUAGAGGAGACUAGGUAGGCAGAUGAUAACAGCAGCAAUCUCAAUACCAAGCAGAUAAGGCUAAGACAGUGGUAACCAUGUUGUGACCCUUGAGCCUCCCAUGGUUUCCUGGCAGAUCCUGUGGAACUCCUGUAAUGUCACAGUGUCUAGGGAACAGCCUUGCAGCUGAUCGUUGUCCUCAUCUGUGGGAGGAAUCAAGGUGUCAGCUACUGAGGUUGGUGUCGGGCCUUCCAGAGCCCAGCUGGGUGUAUGUAAGGUGGAUACACCCUGUAUGAAGACCUUGGGAAACCACUGUUCCCUCCUCCAUGGAGAAUCCCAUAGAGCUCUCCAUCCUUCAUCUUUAUGUAGUGUCUUCAUGUGGCUGAUGGCGACAGUUUCUCAACGGGUAUCUCAGUAAACUCAGAAAGGUUGGAUUUCCUGGGACUGGAGGACAGGCUGUAGUGGAGAUAGCUGGAGAUCUCCUAGAAGGGAACUCAUCUGUGUGUCAAGGACUAUUUCUAUCUCCCAGUGAAUCAUGCAGUCUGGGAUGGGAUAUGCUUGUGAGAUGAGAGGUUGUAUGUUUUAGCAUUUUUAUUCCUAAAUAUCCAAUCAUUCUGAUAGCUGCUGAGAUUGUUUGAAUUUCUUUUCAAUAUAUCUUUGAAGGCUGUGGUUCCAAGCUUGUAAGUAGAACCUGUGCCCUGUUGGAUCAGACUAGAAUCUAGGCACGUGAAUAUGCUUUUGUUCAGCUAGCCGACUCUCAAAGUGAGGUUUAUCCUGCUUUUUGGCCAGCCACAGGAGAACAGACAGCAUGUAAUGCAGCACACUUCUUCCCCCUGCCAUGUUAACCUACAAAAAGGUUUUUGCUCCAGCGUAAUGGAAUGUGGCUUUGUAGUCAGUACUCCAGGUCAUGAUGACACUAUGUUUGUGAUGAAGAUAUAUCUGCUCAUCAUCAUUCAGCAAGACUAGCUUGUUACUGCACUGACACACUGUGUGUGUAGAAGAAAUAAAGAACUAGAU
RNAcentral lists this long non-coding RNA (1170 nucleotides) under Numida meleagris (helmeted guineafowl). RNAcentral describes it as "lncRNA (ENSNMEG00000008505.1)". The record is from RNAcentral. Lineage: Eukaryota; Metazoa; Chordata; Aves; Galliformes; Numididae.